Mobula hypostoma (lesser devil ray) is the source of this 1399-nucleotide long non-coding RNA. RefSeq lists it as uncharacterized. The transcript has 3 exons. NCBI's taxonomy places the organism in Eukaryota, Metazoa, Chordata, Chondrichthyes, Myliobatiformes, Myliobatidae. The record is from RefSeq and is a predicted model, not a curated record.
UCUGCAGUCUCUUGAAUAUCCAAGAUUCCAACAUCAGCAGUCUCCUGCAUCUUUCAGAAUGUAGUACAUCAAUGGGUUGUUGUGGAUGCCAGAUCAUCAAGGGCAUUUAAAGAGCAGGACUGGAGCAACUUGAAAGCAGUAUAAAUAAUGGAACAGUUUUCAUGAACUGAAAUCCACAAAAUCUUCAACAACCCACAAUGACUGACACAUCAAGGAAGCCUCUGUAAGGCUCUGUCAUCAAGUCACCAUUGCUAACACUGGGGCCUGACAGAAGGUGCAUGGCAAAAAGGGAAAUAUUGUCAACAACGAGGUUCAUCACCCAUCCUACAAAAUACCAGAGAUGAUAUGGACAGUCAUCACACAAUGCUGGACUACCCAGUGAAGAAAUGACCACUCUCAUUGCUGCUGGAAGAUCAAAUCCAUCCUGCAUAUGAAUGUAGACUCCAAAACCACACUGAGCAUCAUUAUAUCAAUCACAGCCCAACACAGACUAUCCACAUCAAAGUUGUAUAUUCUAAAAUCAAUAGAAACUGUUUAAGCUUUGCCUACUGAAUUCUGCAACUCUCUAUGUGAAGAAUUUUGAUGCUUUGAUACCACCUGCCUGGUCUUUGUUUACUAACAUGCAAUGUUUCGGGUGCAGUGUUAAACACUGCUAUCUUAACGUAAUUUGGAAAUGAUAAUUAUAGAGCAAAAUAAGGAAGCAAUUAAAGGAGAAGAAAAAGGCCAUUAGACCAGUGGUUUCCAAAGUGGGCGUUAUCAGCCUGCUGGGGUUGGUGGGAGUUUCUAAGGGGUAAUAUCGAUAAAGAGGAUGAUGGAGAGGGCACUCUGUAGAAAGGGGACUACUGAGGGAUUGCAGACUUAAUUUGAGAAAUUAUUAUAAGUAUUUGAUCAUCAAUACCUCAUUGAUUACAGUGAUCAUGUAAUCACCUCAUCUCUUGCUAAUCUACUGUUCUCUUAGACUUUGCUUGAAGCACGUUACAGUUGUUGAAAAGCAAUGUGACACUUCUGUAUUUGGCACAUCAUAAGAAAUCUGACUGAAGAAAUUGUGAUAUCUCAGGGCCCGGUGCAUGCAUUAUUGCCAUUCAUUACUGUGGUACAGUGUUAGCUAUCACAAUUCCCAUACUCUAAUCACACUGUGACACAAUUCCUGUGAGUUAAGGCACGGCAUUCAAUGGGGCAAAGGUCAAAAUAUACCCUUUUGAAUGGUUUUGAUGGAAUUUCUCUGGCCCAUGGCCUAAGAUAUCGCUGCCCCACUUUAUGUACCUUCAGGCAGAGAGUCAGGUUUUACCUGAGCUAUGAUGGUAUCAUUACUUUCUCCUUUAUUGAUUGCAGCACUUGAGGUCGGACUUAAACAAUAGGCGAUUGACUCUGGUCAUUAAUCCACAACAAAAAUAGCAGA